This is a long non-coding RNA of Humulus lupulus (European hop), 125 nucleotides long. RefSeq lists it as uncharacterized. The transcript is spliced from 2 exons. NCBI's taxonomy places the organism in Eukaryota, Viridiplantae, Streptophyta, Magnoliopsida, Rosales, Cannabaceae. The record is from RefSeq and is a predicted model, not a curated record.
AAGGAGCAUCGCUCGUAACUAGUUCACUUGGAAGCCAAAGGUAAAGGCAAGGGCAAACUUGAUCAGCCCUGACUUGGAGAGCUCUGUGAGCGGAAUGUACAUGACCAGCUGCUCAGCUGCCACAG